UACGUAGGGCGCAAGCGUUAUCCGGAAUUAUUGGGCGUAAAGAGCUCGUAGGCGGUGUGUCACGUCGGCCGUGAAAACCUGCAGCUUAACUGUGGGCGUGCGGUCGAUACGGGUAUCACUGGAGUUCGGCAGGGGAGACUGGAAUUCCUGGUGUAGCGGUGAAAUGCGCAGAUAUCAGGAGGAACACCGGUGGCGAAGGCGGGUCUCUGGGCCGAUACUGACGCUGAGGAGCGAAAGCGUGGGGAGCGAACAGG
RNAcentral lists this ribosomal RNA (254 nucleotides) under uncultured bacterium. RNAcentral's name for it is "partial 16S ribosomal RNA". It matches the Rfam family "Bacterial small subunit ribosomal RNA", at positions 524 to 776 of the family's 1533-position model. The record is from RNAcentral.